RNAcentral lists this ribosomal RNA (301 nucleotides) under uncultured bacterium. RNAcentral's name for it is "partial 16S ribosomal RNA". It matches the Rfam family "Bacterial small subunit ribosomal RNA", at positions 509 to 807 of the family's 1533-position model. The record is from RNAcentral.
CAGCAGCCACGGUAAUACGAAGGGUGCAAGCGUUAAUCGGAAUUACUGGGCGUAAAGCGUGCGUAGGCGGUGAGUUAAGUCUGCUGUGAAAUCCCCGGGCUCAACCUGGGAAUGGCAGUGGAUACUGGCUCGCUAGAGUGUGUCAGAGGAUGGCGGAAUUCCCGGUGUAGCGGUGAAAUGCGUAGAGAUCGGGAGGAACAUCAGUGGCGAAGGCGGCCAUCUGGGACAACACUGACGCUGAGGCACGAAAGCGUGGGGAGCAAACAGGAUUAGAUACCCGCGUAGUCCCUGUCUCUUAUAC